CUACAGCACUGGUGCAAAGCCUUGCAAAGUCUCUAUUGCACUAUUCGUCGCCUAUUCGCGCACUAUUCGUACUAUUCGUCGACUAUUUGUACUAUUCGUCGACUAUUCGCACUAUUCGUCGACUAUUCGCGGACUAUUCGUCGACUAUUCGCACUAUUCGCGUCACUAUUCUAGUUUUAUCAAUUGCCAAAGUUAUGCGAAAUCAACUUUUAUUUCAUGCUGUUACGGCCGUUUAGCGAUUCCCGUUUUCGUUAUAGUACUGUACACACGUUAAAAUUGGCUUGUUCCUCACGCGUCUCUUAAUAAUUUUUAUUCGUUGAACGUUUUCGUAUUACAGAUAAGAAACGGUAGAAAACGUACCGAACUAUUACAACAACAACUAAUCUACCGUUCUACUCUGACUUAUAAAUGUUCCGACAUAAUGCCUAUAGAAAAUUAAUAUUUAAAUUGUUCAAGGUUCAGUAAUUAUUAAACUAUAAAUGAGUCAUUGCCACAACAUCUGGCUCCCCUAAGAGGGUUCGAUGACACUCUUAAAUACAUGCACACAAAUAAAG
This is a non-coding RNA of Paramuricea clavata, 554 nucleotides long. NCBI's taxonomy places the organism in Eukaryota, Metazoa, Cnidaria, Anthozoa, Malacalcyonacea, Plexauridae. The record is from the annotation of a GenBank genome assembly.